Molecule: non-coding RNA, 2157 nt
Organism: Caretta caretta (loggerhead turtle)
Lineage: Eukaryota; Metazoa; Chordata; Testudines; Cheloniidae
Source: RefSeq, a predicted model, not a curated record
UCAUCAAAGUUUUCUGUGGUAGGAUUUUAUUUUCUGCAGAUGGGCUCAUUUUAUUAGCUUUUUUACAAACGCUUAAGUUUUCUAUGUCUACAUUCUGUGCCUUUGCCCCAGGCAGGUGGACUCUGGACUUGGGAUAGUGUUGCUGGUGCAAGACUUGGUAUGUGUCUACAUGGGACUGUGGAAGGCAUCAUAAUAUGUUAGUCUGCCACAGGAUCACGAAUGGACAGUAGUGACAAAUGGACACAAAGGCUCCUACCCUAAAUGCAGUGUGAAAUCCUGUCGUUGGUGGGUUGUACCUACUCCUGACAGAUACCAGUGGGUAUUUGUCUCUCUUACUCUUUGACAGCACGUGCAUAAAUUGCCAUGCCAAUAAAGCCUCACUGAAUUGAACUGAAGUUGUGAAAGGCAAAAAAAAAAAAUAAUAAUAAUAAAAAAUGGGGGCGUGAACCAGAAUUGGCUACUAGAUCUGUAUGCAGCAGGAAUCCAAUGGCCCCAAAUACCCUGGAACCAGCAGUUUCUGUCCAUUACCCCCCUCCAAUGCUGAGCAGUAGCCUUGCUGGACUCGCUGUAUAUAACCCUGGGUCUCAGAGUGCUGUAUUGGGGCUGAGAAUUCCAUCCCACCAGCUGAUGUUUGACUGCAUUUUUCCAUCUUCCCAGCCUUUUUAUUCAGGCUUCAUUCCCUUUCUGAAGAGUAGGUCAUACACUAUAGAGAUAAACAUUAUCUUAUCUGACAUAGUAUUGCAAAUCCAGGAUAAUCUUACCUUUGAAGGGCAAGUAUUAUAGCUUCUGGCAUCUAUUUCAGUAUAUUAAAAAUGCGUGAAGUACUGAAUUUCCUUAUUUUCCCUAUAUUUUCACCUGAUGAAGCAAAUAAUAUCUGGUGACUUAGCUAUUUGGGAAUGGGUCUGCAUAUGACCAUCAUCUCUUUGCUUCUUCUCUGCCUGAGAGACUAAAGAGACAUGCAGCCCCAUUGUUUCUAUAGAUCCCCUGGCUACUGACCAACAGCAGGAGCUUUAUCGGCAAAUUCAGAAGGAAUUAAGUCAAAAUCUGCUCUCAGUUACGUGACUGCCACUCCCUGUUUUGACCCACUGCCUACUCAGCUAUUGGUCACAAUAUUAAAAAAGCAAGAGGGGAAAGGUGGAAUUAACUAGGGAGAGGGAAGGAUUGGUUAAGACACAACUCUUUCAUUGGCAGUCUUUAAGAUGUGUUUUGAUAUCUUUUUAAAAGAGAUGCUCUAGCUCAAACUGAAAUUAUGGACUUGUUGCAGAAAUUAUUGACUGGGCUCUUUGGCCUGUGUUAUGUAGCAGGUCAGACUAGGUGAUCAUAAUGGUGCUGCUGGCCUUAAAAAUCUAUGGAAACAGGAACCUGGCGACUUGGCAAAGGCAUGCUGGUGAAUAGACACAUAGUGGCUGAGUACUUACUGACUUACCUGUAGGUUGGUACUGACAUAUGGGUUGAAUGAGUCAGGGAGAGUCGUGGGAGCUCAGCAUUCCUGAAUAUCAGACCUGUAGACAUGAAACCAUUUCCUAAAUGAGUUAGAAUCACGCAGAAAUCCUGGGAGGUAACCCCCUCUUUGAUUCUCAGCUCACAACCUUUUCAUGGAGUUACCCAGGAAUGGAUGCCGAGCUCAUGCUCAGAGACAGACUCUAGAACUGGGCAGUAGCUGCAGCUGGACUCUGAGACAAGAAGGAGCAAUCCAGUCAGGCAACAGCAUCUCAGCAGAAAGUGCUGCAUAUAUAGGAAUGAUAUUAUACAGAUGGAGGUCUGGUGUGCUGGAGGUGUAUAUCUAAAUCAUCACAAUUAUGAUGGCCAAACCUCUCCGUGUGGCUGCAUGUGCCAGCUUCCCAGAGAUGAGAGAUGGUCAAUGUCCUGUCAGAGAAUGGUGCAAACCCAAACUCGUAGUGUCAUCAGCAGAUUUGUAUAGGAGAAGAGGAUCAGACUGAGAGGAAUAAUGAAACAGCAAGAUCAAACCUGAGGCUCUGCUCAACCAGUGUGUUCUGAACUCCCCAGGGUUUUUGAGACCAGAGCCUGCUUCAGCUGCUGAGGGGUUUGCAGCUAAAUCAAACAACCUUGGUGUGUUUUGGAUUGGAGUGUUCCUACUCCAGUGAGAGGAGUGUUAAUAAGAGGUAUGUGUGUGAGAGUCCAGCCUGAGAGAGAGAG